Non-coding RNA from Paramuricea clavata, 137 nucleotides. Lineage: Eukaryota; Metazoa; Cnidaria; Anthozoa; Malacalcyonacea; Plexauridae. The record is from the annotation of a GenBank genome assembly.
UUUUGAUAGUGAUGCUUGUGAUGUUAUUCUGAGUGUAUAUCCACACCGGGCAAGCUUGAAAAAUAUGCCUGACCACGGUGGGAAACGAACUUGCCCGGUGUGGAUAUACACUCAGAGUAACAUCACAAGCAUCAUAU